Molecule: long non-coding RNA, 241 nt
Filed under: Nicotiana benthamiana
Lineage: Eukaryota; Viridiplantae; Streptophyta; Magnoliopsida; Solanales; Solanaceae
Description: long non-coding RNA (NBEN_LNC032246)
Source: RNAcentral
CGAUGUUGUAUGGGGCGGAGUGCUGGCCCGUGAAGAACUCGCAUGUUCAGAGGAUGAAGGUUGCGGAGAUGAGGAUGCUUAGGUGGAUGUGCGGAAACACCAGGCUAGAUAAGAUUAAGAUGAAGUUAUUCGAGAGAAGGUGGGGGUGGCCCCGGUGGAUGAGAAGAUGCGAGAAGCGAGGCUAAGGUGGUUCGGACAUGUACGAAGGAGAAGUCCUGAUGCCCCGGUGAGGAGUUGCGAG